RNAcentral lists this ribosomal RNA (497 nucleotides) under uncultured bacterium. RNAcentral describes it as "partial 16S ribosomal RNA". It matches the Rfam family "Bacterial small subunit ribosomal RNA", at positions 28 to 507 of the family's 1533-position model. The record is from RNAcentral.
GAUGAACGCUGGCGGCGUGCCUAAUACAUGCAAGUCGAGCGAACAGACGAGGAGCUUGCUCCUCUGACGUUAGCGGCGGACGGGUGAGUAACACGUGGAUAACCUACCUAUAAGACUGGGAUAACUUCGGGAAACCGGAGCUAAUACCGGAUAAUAUAUUGAACCGCAUGGUUCAAUAGUGAAAGACGGUUUUGCUGUCACUUAUAGAUGGAUCCGCGCCGCAUUAGCUAGUUGGUAAGGUAACGGCUUACCAAGGCAACGAUGGGUAGCCCACCUGAGAGGGUGAUCGGCCACAAUGGAACUGAGACACGGUCCAGACUCCUACGGGAGGAAGAAGUAGGGAAUCUUCCGCAAUGGUCGAAAGACUGACGGAGCAACGCCGCGUGAGGGAUGAAGGUCUUCGGAUCGUAAAACUCUGUUAUUAGGGAAGAACAAAUGUGUAAGUAACUAUGCACGUCUUGACGGUACCUAAUCAGAAAGCCACGGCUAACUACGUG